This 484-nucleotide ribosomal RNA is filed under the name uncultured bacterium. Its description in RNAcentral is "partial 16S ribosomal RNA". It matches the Rfam family "Bacterial small subunit ribosomal RNA", at positions 29 to 523 of the family's 1533-position model. The record is from RNAcentral.
AGUGAACGCUGGCGGCGUGCUUAACACAUGCAAGUCGAACGAGAACGGAUUAUAGCUUGCUAUAAUUGUCAGCUAAGUGGCGCACGGGUGAGUAAUGUAUAGGUAAUAUGCCUCUUACUAAGGGAUAACAAUUGGAAACGAUUGCUAAUACCUUAUAUUCAUUUUUAUCAAAAGAUAAAAAGGGAAAGAUUUCUUGGUAAGAGAUUAGCCUGUAUUGUAUCAGUUAGUUGGUGGGGUAAUGGCCUACCAAGACGAUGACGCAUAACUGGUUUGAGAGGAUGACCAGUCACACUGGAACUGAGACACGGUCCAGACUCCUACGGGAGGCAGCAGUGGGGAAUAUUGCACAAUGGACGAAAGUCUGAUGCAGCAACGCCGCGUGGAGGAUGACACAUUUCGGUGCGUAAACUCCUUUUAUAUAAGAAGAUAAUGACGGUAUUAUAUGAAUAAGCACCGGCUAACUCCGUGCCAGCCGCCGCGGUAA